RNAcentral lists this non-coding RNA (148 nucleotides) under Nomascus leucogenys (northern white-cheeked gibbon). The record is from Rfam by way of RNAcentral. Lineage: Eukaryota; Metazoa; Chordata; Mammalia; Primates; Hylobatidae.
GCCAGGUAUGGUGGUGCACACCUGUAAUCCCAGCUACUUGGGAGGCUGAGGCAGGAGAAUCACUUGAUCCUGGGAGGUAGAGGUUGCAGUGAGCUGAGAUCGUGCCACUGCACUCCAGCCUGGGAGACAGAGUGAGACCCUGUCUCAA